AGUGAACGCUGGCGGUAGGCCUAACACAUGCAAGUCGAACGGCAGCACAGUAAGAGCUUGCUCUUACGGGUGGCGAGUGGCGGACGGGUGAGGAAUACAUCGGAAUCUACUUUUUCGUGGGGGAUAACGUAGGGAAACUUACGCUAAUACCGCAUACGACCUACGGGUGAAAGCAGGGGAUCUUCGGACCUUGCGCGAUUGAAGGAGCAGAUGUCGGAUUAGCUAGUUGGCGGGGUAAAGGCCCACCAAGGCGACGAUCCGUAGCUGGUCUGAGAGGAUGAUCAGCCACACUGGAACUGAGACACGGUCCAGACUCUUACGGGAGGCAGCAGUGGGGAAUAUUGGACAAUGGGCGCAAGCCUGAUCCAGCCAUACCGCGUGGGUGAAGAAGGCCUUCGGGUUGUAAAGCCCUUUUGUUGGGAAAGAAAAGCAGCAGGUUAAUACCCCGCUGUUCUGACGGUACCCAAAGAAUAAGCACCGGCUAACUUCGUG
This 492-nucleotide ribosomal RNA is filed under the name uncultured bacterium. Its description in RNAcentral is "partial 16S ribosomal RNA". It matches the Rfam family "Bacterial small subunit ribosomal RNA", at positions 29 to 507 of the family's 1533-position model. The record is from RNAcentral.